This 1021-nucleotide non-coding RNA is filed under the name Pan troglodytes (chimpanzee). The record is from RNAcentral. Lineage: Eukaryota; Metazoa; Chordata; Mammalia; Primates; Hominidae.
UUUUUUCCCCAGGCUCUCGCGGGUUUCCCCUGCCAGGGAAUCCACUCGCUGUAGUUUUCUAGGGCUCUGGUCCCAGUCCCUUCUGAAGCGCGCUUGCAGGCUGUCUUCCUCAGUCGCCCUCUCCCUGGGUGCUGUUUUGCUGGGCAGCAUCCCAUGCUAGGCUCGGCAGACAUUCUGGCGGUUGGGUUCGGCCCUUGCAGCGCUAACACCUGCAGAGUCGAGGCUCCUGCCAAAAGGCAGAAAGCAAAGGAGGAAAAAAUUCAUUGUCAUAAUAGCGAAAAUGAUAAACCUCAGCUGUUUAAGAGAAGAACGUCUGAGUAGCUGUUGAUUACCUCCCAUAAUCACAAAAGAACUUUUUUUUUUAAAAAAAGAAUUUGCACUUUUCGUCUGUUAAAACGCGGUCAUUCUUUUGCUUUCAAAUCGAACUUCACGACAGUUAGCAACUUCAAGAACGCUUCCAAAUGGAUAAAUCUUUCCAGAAGAUUUCUUGCUUCAAAACAGCUGCAUUUUUGGAAGAAAGUCCACAACUGACAACUAAGCAAAACCUUCCUGGUGGAUAGCAUAAAUCUGCUUUGUUGAAGCUGCUCAUUUGUCUGAUCUAUGAGUCCAGAAGAUGCAAACUCCCUUCCCAGCUUAUGCAAAAAUACUUCCAGUAAAAACAAGCCCUUUGGCCCUUUUCUUCUGUCAGUCCAGAUUUCAGCAUGUUCUUCGCUUUGUUAUUCAUCAUUUUAUGUAUUUGGACCCAUCCUCAAACAGACUUUAAACCGUUUAAAGGCAAGGAGGGACUCUUUCCUAAACCUUUAAUCCCCUGGCCCAGCUGAGUAGAUGCACAGUGUCUUUUGAUGAUGGUGAUAUAGAAUGAUUAAUAACCACACAAGGCAUUCGGUUGGUCAAGUCACUGUUUAUUGGCUCAAAAUAAUCCUUGGCUUCCAUAUGUCUAUAGCUCACUUCCUAAACAGUUAAAUCCGGAGAGUCUAAUAGAUGAUAGUUGGUGAUCAUAAAUAUAAAUAACCAAUACAUU